UUUUAUUUCUUACCUGUCUGGAGAAAUCCCGACGAGCCCCCAAAUUGUUAGGUUUUUGCUCCUAAUUCGUGCCUCAUCCCAGACCUCUUAUUUGGCAAUUGAAUGAGCAAUCACUCAGCGCUGAGGGAGAAUAUAGUCUCCUUUUAUUGAUAAGAAAAGAGAGAAUAUAUAGAAAGAGUACAAGGGGUGUAGUAUAGUUUCAGCCAAUGAGAAAGAGAAUACAUCAUAUAGAUCAUGUUAUAGGAAUGUGAUACAUAUAGAAAAACAAGUCUAAAUAUAGUCAUCUAUUGGUCAGGUACCCAUGAGGUCCCUUAGCAUCCCAAGGACCUUCUCCUAAGCAGGGACCAUUCCCUGUUUCACAUUUACUCCUAGUAGAGCCUUAUAUGGAAAUGGUUCUGGUACAUAGAAAACCAUAUGUUUAAAACAUAGUAUACAACUUUGACAGAGGAAAAAAAAAGGAGCCUCAGUCCACAUACUUUCAAUGCUGAGACCAACAUAAAAUCUAUCAAUUACUGUUUGUGUUUGUAAUAUGUAAUAUUUUUGUGCUUAUCUGUUGUUUUAUAUAUUCAUUUUGUAGGAUCAGUACAGAUUUGUUAUUGGAGAUACAGUGCAAGCUGUGUGGAAUCAAAGACCUGUAUUGAUGAGGCCAGUGUCAGUGAAGAUGGUGUGGUCACUGGAAUCCUGGUGUUUGUGGGAAAUGUGAAGGAGCUUCUCCCAGGAUUCUACAACAGUGUUGUCCUGAUGACUGAGGUAUUUAUUUUUUUUACUUUCUUGCCUCUUUGGAACAUGUUCAUUUAUGCAUACUGUGUAGAGGUGGUUCGCAGCUUCAUGGACA
Molecule: long non-coding RNA, 835 nt
Organism: Megalobrama amblycephala (Wuchang bream)
Lineage: Eukaryota; Metazoa; Chordata; Actinopteri; Cypriniformes; Xenocyprididae
Exons: 3
Source: RefSeq, a predicted model, not a curated record